This 495-nucleotide ribosomal RNA is filed under the name uncultured bacterium. Its description in RNAcentral is "partial 16S ribosomal RNA". It matches the Rfam family "Bacterial small subunit ribosomal RNA", at positions 28 to 507 of the family's 1533-position model. The record is from RNAcentral.
GAUGAACGCUGGCGGCGUGCCUAAUACAUGCAAGUAGAACGCUGAAGGAGGAGCUUGCUCUUCUGGAUGAGUUGCGAACGGGUGAGUAACGCGUAGGUAACCUGCCUGGUAGCGGGGGAAAACUCUUGGAAACGAUAGCUAAUACCGCAUGACAACAGUUAUUGCAUGAUAACUGUUUAAAAGGGGCAACUGCUCGACUACGAGACGGCCCUGGGUUGUAUUAGCUAGUUGGUGAGGUAACGGCGCACCAAGGCGACGAUACAUAGCAGACCUGAGAGGGCGAGCGGCCUCACUGGGAAUGAGAGACGGCCCAGACUCUCACGAGUGCCAGCGGAAGGGGAUCUACGGCAAUGGGCGGAAGUCUGACCGAGCAACGCCGCGUGAGUGAAGAAGGUUUUCGGAUCGUAUAGCUCGGUUGUAAGAGAAGAACGAGUGAAAGAGUGGAAAGUUCACACUAUGACGGUAUCUUACCAGAAAGCGACGGCUAACUACGUG